RNAcentral lists this ribosomal RNA (253 nucleotides) under uncultured bacterium. RNAcentral's name for it is "partial 16S ribosomal RNA". It matches the Rfam family "Bacterial small subunit ribosomal RNA", at positions 524 to 776 of the family's 1533-position model. The record is from RNAcentral.
GACGGAGGGUGCGAGCGUUAAUCGGAAUUACUGGGCGUAAAGGGCGCGUAGGCGGUGGGUUACGUCUGCCGUGAAAUCCCCGGGCUCAACCUGGGAAUGGCGGUGGAAACGGGCUGACUGGAGUAUGGGAGAGGGUGAUGGAAUUCCAGGUGUAGCGGUGAAAUGCGUAGAGAUCUGGAGGAACACCAGUGGCGAAGGCGGUCUCCUGGCCCAAUACUGGCGCUGAGGCGCGAAAGCGUGGGGAGCAAACAGG